Molecule: ribosomal RNA, 253 nt
Filed under: uncultured bacterium
Lineage: Bacteria
Description: partial 16S ribosomal RNA
Rfam family: Bacterial small subunit ribosomal RNA
Source: RNAcentral
UACGGAGGGUGCGAGCGUUGUCCGGAAUUAUUGGGCGUAAAGGGCUCGUAGGCGGUUCGUCACGUCGGGAGUGAAAACUCGGAGCUUAACUCCGAGCCUGCUUCCGAUACGGGCAGACUAGAGGUAGGCAGGGGAGAGCGGAACUCCUGGUGUAGCGGUGGAAUGCGCAGAUAUCAGGAAGAACACCGGUGGCGAAGGCGGCUCUCUGGGCCUUACCUGACGCUGAGGAGCGAAAGUGUGGGGAGCGAACAGG